CCCCUGGUAUCUCAGCUGGUAAAGAUUCUGCCUGCAAUGCAGGAGACCUGGUUCGAUCCCAGGUUUGGGAC
Molecule: transfer RNA, 71 nt
Filed under: Ovis aries (sheep)
Lineage: Eukaryota; Metazoa; Chordata; Mammalia; Artiodactyla; Bovidae
Rfam family: tRNA
About the family: Transfer RNA (tRNA) molecules are approximately 80 nucleotides in length.
Source: Rfam by way of RNAcentral